This 982-nucleotide long non-coding RNA is filed under the name Cricetulus griseus (Chinese hamster). Its description in RNAcentral is "lncRNA (ENSCGRG00000024593.1)". The record is from RNAcentral. Lineage: Eukaryota; Metazoa; Chordata; Mammalia; Rodentia; Cricetidae.
UUGCUGUUGUUGUGCUGUAACUUCCUCAGUUCUUUACGUCUAUUGACUAAACUUGUUCUUCUCUCCCCAGGACCAAGAGAAGCAGAGCGUGAAGAGCCAGGGAUGGCUCCAUCCAUCUAACUCACAGAUUAAUGGGAGACACAGUGUUCACUUAUUCGCCAAGCUACUAUUUCCCCCACGGUAAUUCAAGUCUCCCAAGAAGAAACUUUGGUAAUGAACAUGGCCUCUCUGUUUUCCGCUGUAAGCAGCAGAAAUCCCCCUGCAGGCGCUCUACUAGACCUUUUAUCCAUACUCAGGAAAAAGAAUUGAUUGAUUUUGAAGUUCAAUGUUGGCAUCUGCUGUUAUUCAAAACCAGGACCUUGGCUACAGUAAUCCACCACGCUUUCAGCACCACCACCCGUGUGCGGCAAAUGAAGGCAAGCUGUUGUCGAAUGAGAAAUGCAAAAUAGCCAAUCUGUUUGACUGUUUAAUGUAACCAGGAACAUAAGCUGCUAAAAGUGGUGCCAUUCGGCACUGUCAGAUGGGGGACACUCUCCAACAAACAAAAGCCUAAUGACCCGUUUUACUCGGCACUCCAAGUUGUUGCUGAUGGUGUCUUCCAUAUGCACUCAAACAUGCUUUUAUCUGAAACUGCAAAUGACAUGAUUUUCCAUUCAAAACAAGUGUGUAAUCUCUCUGUCUGUGUGUGUGAGUGUGUGUGUGUGUGUGUGUGUGUGUGUGUGUGUGUGUGUGUGUAUGUGUGUGUGUGUGUGUGUGUGCGCACAUAUAUGUGUGCAUGGGUGGGUAGGUAGGUGCAUUUGUAUGUGGGUGUUGGGAGAGAAGGGGAGAGCGGUGUCCCCCAUCCCUGACUGUGCAUCAACGAGCAAAGUUGAUGGUUGAGACAUCUUUGAGCGGGAAGCAUAUUGUGGCAGCAUCUGACUCUCCUCUUGCCCUUACACCUGUCAUUGUACUGUAUUAAAGGGAAAAAUCAAGUCAUUAGCCA